AGAGUUUGAUCCUGGCUCAGGACGAACGCUGGCGGCGCGCCUAACACAUGCAAGUCGAACGGGGUUAUACCGAAUGAAGUUUUCGGAUGGAAUUUGGUAUAACUUAGUGGCGGACGGGUGAGUAACACGUGAGCAACCUGCCUAUCAGAGGGGGAUAACGAUUGGAAACGAUCGCUAAUACCGCGUGACAUAGCGAAACCGCAUGGUUUUGCUAUCAAAGAUUUAUCGCUGAUAGAUGGGCUCGCGUCCGAUUAGAUAGUUGGUGAGGUAACGGCUCACCAAGUCGACGAUCGGUAGCCGGACUGAGAGGUCGAACGGCCACAUUGGGACUGAGACACGGCCCAGACUCCUACGGGAGGCAGCAGUGGGGGACAUUGCACAAUGGGGGAAACCCUGAUGCAGCGACGCCGCGUGAGGGAAGACGGUCCUCUGGAUUGUAAACCUCUGUCUUCGGGGACGAAAGAAGACGGUACCCGAGGAGGAAGCCACGGCUAACUACGUGCCAGCAGCCGCGGUAAUACGUAGGUGGCAAGCGUUGUCCGGAAUUACUGGGUGUAAAGGGAGCGUAGGCGGGCAGGCAAGUCAGGCGUGAAAUAUAUCGGCUCAACCGGUAUCUGCGCUUGAAACUGCAGGUCUUGAGUGAAGUAGAGGUUGGCGGAAUUCCUAGUGUAGCGGUGAAAUGCGUAGAUAUUAGGAGGAACACCAGUGGCGAAGGCGGCCAACUGGGCUUUUACUGACGCUGAGGCUCGAAAGUGUGGGGAGCAAACAGGAUUAGAUACCCUGUAGUCCACACCGUAAACGAUGAUUACUAGGUGUGGGGGGACUGACCCCUUCCGUGCC
RNAcentral lists this ribosomal RNA (840 nucleotides) under uncultured bacterium. Its description in RNAcentral is "bacterial SSU rRNA". It matches the Rfam family "Bacterial small subunit ribosomal RNA", at positions 8 to 847 of the family's 1533-position model. The record is from RNAcentral.